GGUUAUUUGUUUACUCUUUCUGGAAGUGCUAUCAAUUGGAAGGCAACAUUGCAAGCUAUAGUUGUUUUAACUACCAUAGAGACUGAAUAUAUGGCCUUAGCAAAAGCAAUAAAUGAAGCUUUAUGAUUACAAGAUUUGAUGGGUGAUCUUGGAUUAAUACAGAACAAGGAAACAGUGUUUUGUGACAGCAAGAGUGUAAUACAUCUCACAAAGAAUUAGAUGUACCACGAGCGAACUUAGCACAUUGAUGUCAGAUACCACUUCAUUUGGGACAUUGUAUCUCAGAGGACUGUAGUUAUGCAGAAAGUUUCUACACAUGAUAAUCCGGCAGAU
This 333-nucleotide unclassified non-coding RNA is filed under the name Hevea brasiliensis (rubber tree). Lineage: Eukaryota; Viridiplantae; Streptophyta; Magnoliopsida; Malpighiales; Euphorbiaceae. The record is from RNAcentral.